Molecule: ribosomal RNA, 301 nt
Filed under: uncultured bacterium
Lineage: Bacteria
Description: partial 16S ribosomal RNA
Rfam family: Bacterial small subunit ribosomal RNA
Source: RNAcentral
CAGCCGCCGCGGGAAUACCGAGGGUGCAAGCGUUAAUCGGAAUUACUGGGCGUAAAGCGCGCGUAGGUGGUUCGCCAAGUUGGAUGUGAAAUCCCCGGGCUCAACCUGGGAACUGCAUCCAAAACUGGCGAGCUAGAGUAUGGUAGAGGGUGGUGGAAUUUCCUGUGUAGCGGUGAAAUGCGUAGAUAUAGGAAGUAACAUCAGUGGCGAAGGCGACCACCUGGACUGAUACUGACACUGAGGUGCGAAAGCGUGGGGAGCAAACAGGAUUAGAUACCCCAGUAGUCCCUGUCUCUUAUAC